Molecule: unclassified non-coding RNA, 4882 nt
Filed under: Hevea brasiliensis (rubber tree)
Lineage: Eukaryota; Viridiplantae; Streptophyta; Magnoliopsida; Malpighiales; Euphorbiaceae
Source: RNAcentral
GAUGCCCGACCAGAGCUGUAGGGUGUGCUAUGAGUGUGACUCUCAGUUUACUGUGUUUAACCGUCGACAUCAUUGCCGUCUCUGUGGCCGAGUUUUCUGUGCAAAAUGUGCAUCGAACUCUAUUCCUGUCUCAAAUGAGGAGCCCAAGGCCGGCCAGGAAGAUGGAGACAGGAUUAGAGUAUGUAGCUUCUGUUUUAAGAAAUGGCAGCAGGGCUUAGCUACGGUUGAUAGUAGGAUGAACCUUCCUUGUCCGGGACUCAGUCCAUCUCCUUCCACAACAAGUUUGGCCAGCAGCCAGUCUGGCUGUACUUGUAAUAGUGGUAGUAGCGGUAGUUCAACUGUUUACCCCACAGGACCAUAUCAAUAUGUACCAUGCAGCUCAUGUCAAAGUGCUUCUCAAUCAGCUCAGUUGGGUCAGGCAGCUCUCCAGCAAGAUCAAGCAACAUCUAUGGGGAAUCCAGAAUUCAGUCAUUUUAUCUCUUGCUACAGGAGUGAUGAUGAAGAUGAUGAUUACGGUGUGUGUGGAUCACAUUCUGAGCCAAGACACUUUACUGCAACAGAUGUCUAUUAUGGUGCUUUCAACUACAAGGAGAUGAAUGAUAUCUGUGGACCAAACAAUGGUCAACCUGCUGAGAUUGAAUCAAGUAGUGUAAAUUCCUCAUCACUGACAGAGAACUGUGAAUGGAAGAACUCAGAAGGGAUGAAAGAACUUGCAAAAGAAAUAGAUAGUUGUAUCAAUCGUGUCGAGCAUGAAGAGCCUCCUCCUUAUGAUGUGAAUGACACAGAUAAUGCACCUGUUGAUUUUGAGAGUAGUUAUUUACUCUGGUUGCCACCAGAGCCAGAAACAGAAGAGGAUGAUAGAGAAUCUCUUUCAUUUGAUGAGGAUGAUGAUUGUAGUGAAGAAGCGCCAGGGGAAUGGGGUUAUAUGGAUUCAUCAUGGAACUUAGCUGAUGGAGAGUACCAUAAUAGGUCAACCGCGGAGCAUAGGAAGGCAAUGAAAAAUGUGGUUGAUGGACAUUUUAAAUCUUUGAUUGUGCAGCUUUUGCAAGUUGAACAUAUUCCUCCAGCUGAGGAGGAUAAUAGUGAGAGUUGGUCGGAGAUAGUCACAUCUUUAUCCUGGGAAGCUGCCACACUCCUAAAGCCUGACAUGAGUCAGAAUGGAGGAAUGGAUCCUUGUGGAUAUGUGAAGAUUAAAUGCAUUGCAAGUGGACAUCGUAGAGAAAGUAUGGUGGUUAAAGGCGUUGUUUGUAAGAAAAAUGUGGCGCACCGACGAAUGAACUCAAAAUUCAAAAAGCCUAGACUCCUAAUUCUUGGAGGAGCACUGGAAUAUCAAAGGGUGGCUAAUCACUUGUCAAGUUUUGACACUUUAUUGCAGCAGGAAAUGGACCAUCUGAAGAUGGCUGUUGCAAAGAUUGAUGCUCAUCAUCCAAACAUUUUGUUAGUAGAGAAAUCAGUAUCUCGAUUUGCGCAGGAAUACCUGCUUGUGAAAAACAUAUCUCUAGUUCUCAAUGUGAAGCGGCCGCUUUUAGAGCGUAUUGCCCGUUGUACAGGUGCACAAGUAGUCCCUUCAAUUGAUAAUCUUACAACGCCAAAGUUAGGGUACUGUGAUUCAUUUCAUGUUGAUAAGUUUGUGGAAGAGCAUGGUAGUGCUGGGCAAGCUGGAAAGAAACUGACAAAGACCUUGAUGUUUUUCGAAGGAUGCCCAAAGCCUUUUGGCUGUACUAUUUUGCUCAAGGGUGCCAAUGGGGACGAUUUGAAGAAAAUAAAACGUGUUAUCCAAUAUGGAGUUUUUGCUGCUUAUCACCUGGCUCUGGAGACAUCUUUUCUUGCAGAUGAAGGUGCUUCCUUGCCAGAGCUCCCUUUGAAGUCCCCACUUAAAGUUGCAUUGCCUGAUAAGCCAUCAACUAUGCAAAGAUCCAUUUCUGUCAUUCCUGGUUUCUCCGUACCAGUAGCCCAGAGACCGCACGAUCACCAUUCUCCUGGCACACCAUCUCAUUCCUCAACCAAACCGUUGUCUGGUAUUACAUCACCAUCCAAUAGUGCUCCAAUGCUUGUUGAACAGUCAAGUUUUCCCGAAUGUUAUAACUCAUUACCUAGUGCUACAACUGCCUCAAAUAAUGUCGACUUUUCUGAUUGUCCUAAUUCCUCGCAUCAUUCGAGGCGUCAGUUCUCAGAUCAAGCUGAUGGGAGGAAUGAAAUGGCUCCAAAUGACCCUCAUGAAGCAUCUCCACUAGACAGAGGUGAAGAUGCAAGAAAUGAUUAUAUACUUAAUUUUCCUAGCAAUUCCUUGAGGGAUACUGGUAGCUUUUCUCAUGUUGUGGGAGGUUUUCGCACGGUACACUUAUCUUCAGAAUUGGUGCUACCAGAAUUUGAUAAUAGUUACUUCGAGGAGUUAGGGUCACUACAGCAAGAUUAUCCUUCCUCACCUUCCGACCAACUGAUUAUUGUAGUAUGCCUUUCAACACGCUGUGUUUGGAAAGGAACUGUUUGUGAGCCACCUCAUAUUUCUCGAAUAAAAUUUUAUGGGAUUACCGAUAUGCCUUUGGGACGGUUUUUACGAGACCGGUUGUUUGAUGAGAAUUUUAGGUGUCCCUCAUGUGAAAUGCCUCCAGAAGCACAUGUUCGUUGCUAUACUCAUCGGCAAGGCAGCCUCACAAUUUCUGUAAAGAAGCUACCUGAAUGUAUCUUGCCAGGAGAACAGGAAGGAAAGAUAUGGAUGUGGCACAGAUGUCUGCGAUGUCCUCGGGACAAUGGUUUCCCUCCUCCAACCAGGAGGGUAGUAAUGUCUAAUGCUGCUUGGGGGUUGUCAUUUGGGAAAUUUUUGGAACUCAGUUUUUCAAAUCAUGCAGCAGCGAGCAGGGUUGCAAGUUGUGGUCAUCUUCUUCACCGGGACUGUCUCCGGUUCUAUGGGUUUGGGAAAAUGGUAGCUUGUUUUCGAUAUGCUCCUGUUCAUGUUUAUUCUGUCUUUCUCCCACCUCCAAAACUCGAAUUUAGCUAUGAUAAUCAGGAGUGGAUUCAGAAAGAAGGUGAUGAGGUGCGCAGAAGGGCUAAUGCGUUGUUUGCUGAGGUGUCCAAAGUUCUUCAUGUCAAGUUGGAAAAAUUCUCUGUUGAUAGCAGCUUGAAAGCACCCAAGACAAGUGAGCAGAUCACAGAGAUGGAAGAAAUAUUAGAGAAGGAGAAAACUGAGUUUGAGGGAUUAUUACGCAAGGCACUUAGCAGGGAGAUCAAAGUUGGUCAGCCUACAGUUGACAUCCUUGAGAUAAAUCAACUGAGAAGGCAGUUGGUUUUUCAUGCUUAUCUAUGGGACAGACGUUUGAUACAUCUUUCCAGUUCUCAUGGUAAAAAUUCCCGAACUCCGGGCAGUUUGACACAACUGAAGGAGAAACCCCUCAGCUCUAGUGAGGAACUUCCUGAAAGGACUGCAAUUUUGAGACCUGGAAAAAGUUUGGGGAGCUAUGAUUCAGCUCUUCAGAAUGUGAAGACUGAAAUAACAUCUAGUGAAGGAAGACAUGGUCAGAUUCCUGAUGGGGUUCACGAAAGAUUGACUACUGAUGAGAACCUAACUCACGGGAAAGACUGCGAGAUUUUCUGUGCUAUAAGAAAUACAGGAGAUGGUAAUGUACUGGAACCUGGAAAAAAUGUCAGACGUGUUCUUUCAGAUGCAAAGUUCCCGUCUGUGGGAAGUUUAUCCGACACUCUUGAUGCUGCAUGGACCGGUGAAAGCCACCUGGCUAUUAAAGAGCAUAACAGUGCAUUUCCAGGUUCGUUCGUUGUAGAUUCUACUGCUUUGACUGGAGUUUCAGCAAAUACAGAUGUCGAAAGGUCUCUGUGUGACAAAAAUGGGGCUGAAAUACCUCAUUUAUCUGCUAAGUCUGACAACACAGAUUACCUGACCUGGGCAACGGCACAUUUCUCAAAUUUCUAUCGUUCGUUCAACAAGAAUAUCACAGCAAAUCCACAAUAUGUUGCUAAAUUGAAUGAGCAUAAUCCUGUUUAUAUCUUGUCGUUUAGCGAAUUGCUACAUCAAGGUGGUGCCAGGCUUCUUACAGCUGUUGGUGAAAAUGACAUUGUUAUUCCAGUUUAUGAUGAUGAGCCGACAAGUAUCAUCUCAUAUGCACUUGUCUCACCAGAUUACCGCAAUCAAAUGUCAGAUGAAUCUCAAAACCUGAAAGAAAAUCACAAGUUUUCAGCUUCUUUGUCAUUUCUGGAUUCAUUAAAUCUACUUCCGCUUCACUCUGUGGAUGGAGUAGUUUCGGAAUCUCCAAGAAGUUUUGGAUCUACCAACGAAAGCAUGUCAUCGGGUUAUAGUUCUCGCAGCUCAAACAUGGAUCCACCAGCAUAUAUUAAUGCUUUGCAUGCCCGAAUAUCUUUCUCAGAUGAUGGCCCUCCUGGAAAGGUUAAGUACACAGUCACCUGCUAUUAUGCGAAGCAAUUCGAGACCUUGAGAAAGUCUUGUUGCCCCAAUGAAUCAGACUUUAUACGUUCCCUUAGCCGAUGCAAAAAAUGGGGUGCUCAGGGUGGGAAGAGCAAUGUUUUCUUUGCCAAAACCUUGGACGACCGAUUUAUCAUCAAGCAGGUAACGAAGACAGAGUUGGAGUCAUUUAUCAAGUUUGCACCAGCUUACUUUAAGUAUUUAUCUGACUCAAUAGCUAGUGGGAGCCCAACUUGCUUGGCAAAGAUUCUGGGGAUCUACCAGGUUACAUCAAAGCAUCUCAAAGGUGGGAAAGAAUCAAGAAUGGAUGUGCUUGUUAUGGAAAAUCUUCUUUUUAAGCGCAACAUCACUAGACUGUAUGACCUCAAAGGGUCGUCUCGAUCACGCUAUAAUCCAGAUUCAAGUGGAAGUAACAAAGUUUUACUUGAUCAGAACUUGAUUGAAGCAAUG